CGGACGGGUGAGUAACACGUGGAUAACCUACCUAUAAGACUGGGAUAACUUCGGGAAACCGGAGCUAAUACCGGAUAAUAUUUUGAACCGCAUGGUUCAAAAGUGAAAGGCGGUCUUGCUGUCACUUAUAGAUGGAUCCGCGCUGCAUUAGCUAGUUGGUAAGGUAACGGCUUACCAAGGCAACGAUGCAUAGCCGACCUGAGAGGGUGAUCGGCCACACUGGAACUGAGACACGGUCCAG
RNAcentral lists this ribosomal RNA (241 nucleotides) under uncultured Staphylococcus sp. Its description in RNAcentral is "partial 16S ribosomal RNA". It matches the Rfam family "Bacterial small subunit ribosomal RNA", at positions 99 to 334 of the family's 1533-position model. Lineage: Bacteria; Bacillati; Bacillota; Bacilli; Caryophanales; Staphylococcaceae. The record is from RNAcentral.